AAAACUCAGGAGGAUUGUGCUAUGAUAAACAAGGCUAACCUGCUGAUUCUCUGAAGCAAGGAACUGGAGAUGGUCCUUCUAAGGGUUUAUAUUCUGGAUUCCAGGAAACAUGCAAACAGGACCCAUAAAUGCAUCUUUAUUUUGGUGCCCAUUUUGACCUGGUCAGGAGAAUUCCAACAAAAAAUCCACGGUGUUGGAGCAAGAUCUCAGGCUCUCAGGCUGUGGCCAUCUAGAGAUUCCAUUUUGGAUGCUCCCAUCGGGACUGUGUGUCCCUGUGCUGGAACUCGAGUGAACACUUGGCUCAAAAUCCAUUGCUGUUCUCUAGAAAUCCUGCCCUAUUCUCUUGGUGAAAUAUAAGAUUCCAUUUUGGAUGCCCUCAUUGGGACUGUGUGUCCCUGUACUGGAACUCAAGUGAACACUUGGCUCAAAAUCCAUUGCUGUUCUCUAGAAAUCCAGCCUAAUUCUCUUGG
Molecule: long non-coding RNA, 470 nt
Filed under: Homo sapiens (human)
Lineage: Eukaryota; Metazoa; Chordata; Mammalia; Primates; Hominidae
Description: HSALNT0398681
Source: RNAcentral